AUUGAACGCUGGCGGCAUGCCUUACACAUGCAAGUCGAACGGCAGCACGGGGGCAACCCUGGUGGCGAGUGGCGAACGGGUGAGUAACACAUCGGAACGUGCCCAGUAGUGGGGGAUAGCUCGGCGAAAGCCGGAUUAAUACCGCAUACGACCUACGGGUGAAAGCGGGGGAUCGCAAGACCUCGCGCUAUCGGAGCGGCCGAUGUCAGAUUAGGUUGUUGGUGGGGUAAAGGCCACCAAGCCGACGAUCUGUAGCUGGUCUGAGAGGACGACCAGCCACACUGGGACUGAGACACGGCCCAGACUCCUACGGGAGGCAGCAGUGGGGGAAUUUUGGACAAUGGGCGCAAGCCUGAUCCAGCCAUGCCGCGUGCGGGAAGAAGGCCUGGUGUAACG
This 396-nucleotide ribosomal RNA is filed under the name uncultured bacterium. RNAcentral describes it as "bacterial SSU rRNA". It matches the Rfam family "Bacterial small subunit ribosomal RNA", at positions 29 to 430 of the family's 1533-position model. The record is from RNAcentral.